Molecule: long non-coding RNA, 1070 nt
Organism: Gadus morhua (Atlantic cod)
Lineage: Eukaryota; Metazoa; Chordata; Actinopteri; Gadiformes; Gadidae
Exons: 9
Source: RefSeq, a predicted model, not a curated record
CAUGCAAACUCAGAAAACCCCUGCAUCGACUUCAUAACACGAGCAAAUAGGGAAACGAACUGCAAGUUAUGACAACGGAAAUGUGUCCCGGGGGACCAUAAUCAGUGACGGACCCAUAUCCGGUUGGCGGUUCUUUUCAAUUACGAAGGUGUUAAGUCGUUUGAUUGUGCUACAAGAGAUUGACGUGUUCUGCCCGUUCUGUGCGGUGCAACUGGGGGACGCUCCCAAGUUUUGCCCGUCAUGUGGGCAGAAUGUGGGGUUCCUUACACAGCUCCCAUCAACUCCAUCCACCUCGUCAAGCGAAGGCUGUGGGCCUACAGUGAAGGAGACUAGGAAGGAAGGAAGAGCAGCUCAAUUCUUGAGGUUCAGGGAGGUUAAAGAGGCUGAGAGGAGGACCUCCUUUUCAAAGCUUAAAAAGAAGCAGGCCAUUACAGUGAAGAUUUCGAUUGGCAUCAUGUCAAGGACCAAGAAUGGUUUAAAACCUCAAAGAGGGAAAACCAUGCCGUUAAAUGUUGAACCCCAGUGGUCAACAACCCAAAUCUUGCCAGCUGCUUUAAAGAAGCAGCAAGAUUUUAAUCAAAACGCAAUGGUAGAUGGAGAAUAUGUGCUUCUCUAUCCUGAUGGAUCUCAGGUAGAAAAUAUACCUGGUACAGACAGACCUUUUGUUCUUGAACAUUAUAAAGAGGCAAUUGGGAAAUCUUACCAGAGGAUUACGCUGUACAUCUGCCUUCUUCAGGAUUUGAGUUAUGGAGAUGACUCAUCUUCAGAAUCCGAUGAUUGUGAAGCAUUUGGUCGGCUUCCAAUGAAAAUGUCCCCAAAACAAUCUCUGCCAACAACAUCCAGGGCAUCUGGUGGGCAAGCCAAUGGAGCAGGAGCAGGACCCAAAAAGACCACAUCACCAAACACAUCAUGUGAAUUCUACAAUACAUAUACAAAUGUAUAUGCACCAGUUGUCAUUGACAGCAGUUCCUCAGAUGUUGAGGAAGUCGACUACUCUCAGGUGGAAGACAGAGAGCAAGUUUUUGGACUGACUGCUGCUGACGUUUUGUCCAAUCUGUCAGAACACGAGC